Molecule: ribosomal RNA, 656 nt
Filed under: Escherichia coli
Lineage: Bacteria; Pseudomonadati; Pseudomonadota; Gammaproteobacteria; Enterobacterales; Enterobacteriaceae
Description: partial 23S ribosomal RNA
Rfam family: Bacterial large subunit ribosomal RNA
Source: RNAcentral
UAAUGGGUCAGCGACUUAUAUUCUGUAGCAAGGUUAACCGAAUAGGGGAGCCGAAGGGAAACCGAGUCUUAACUGGGCGUUAAGUUGCAGGGUAUAGACCCGAAACCCGGUGAUCUAGCCAUGGGCAGGUUGAAGGUUGGGUAACACUAACUGGAGGACCGAACCGACUAAUGUUGAAAAAUUAGCGGAUGACUUGUGGCUGGGGGUGAAAGGCCAAUCAAACCGGGAGAUAGCUGGUUCUCCCCGAAAGCUAUUUAGGUAGCGCCUCGUGAAUUCAUCUCCGGGGGUAGAGCACUGUUUCGGCAAGGGGGUCAUCCCGACUUACCAACCCGAUGCAAACUGCGAAUACCGGAGAAUGUUAUCACGGGAGACACACGGCGGGUGCUAACGUCCGUCGUGAAGAGGGAAACAACCCAGACCGCCAGCUAAGGUCCCAAAGUCAUGGUUAAGUGGGAAACGAUGUGGGAAGGCCCAGACAGCCAGGAUGUUGGCUUAGAAGCAGCCAUCAUUUAAAGAAAGCGUAAUAGCUCACUGGUCGAGUCGGCCUGCGCGGAAGAUGUAACGGGGCUAAACCAUGCACCGAAGCUGCGGCAGCGACGCUUAUGCGUUGUUGGGUAGGGGAGCGUUCUGUAAGCCUGUGAAGGUGUACUGUGAGG